This 31-nucleotide non-coding RNA is filed under the name Macaca fascicularis (crab-eating macaque). RNAcentral also lists the same sequence under 1 other name. Lineage: Eukaryota; Metazoa; Chordata; Mammalia; Primates; Cercopithecidae. The record is from RNAcentral.
UGGAGCCAAUGACACACCUUUGGGACUAGGC